UCCAGACUCCUACGGGAGGCAGCAGUGAGGAAUAUUGGUCAAUGGCCGGAAGGCUGAACCAGCCAAGUCGCGUGAGGGAAUAAGGCCCUAUGGGUCGUAAACCUCUUUUGUCAGGGAGCGAAGGCGUCCACGUGUGGACGAGAGGAGAGUACCUGAAGAAAAAGCAUCGGCUAACUCCGUGCCAGCAGCCGCGGUAAUACGGAGGAUGCGAGCGUUAUCCGGAUUUAUUGGGUUUAAAGGGUGCGUAGGCGGGCAUUUAAGCCGGCGGUCAAAUGUCGGGGCUCAACCCCGGCCUGCCGUCGGAACUGGGUGCCUUGAGUGGGCGAGAAGUAUGCGGAAUGCGUGGUGUAGCGGUGAAAUGCAUAGAUAUCACGCAGAACCCCGAUUGCGAAGGCAGCAUACCGGCGCCCUACUGACGCUGAGGCACGAAAGUGCGGGUAUCGAACAGGAUUAGAUACCCCAGUACCA
Molecule: ribosomal RNA, 468 nt
Filed under: uncultured bacterium
Lineage: Bacteria
Description: bacterial SSU rRNA
Rfam family: Bacterial small subunit ribosomal RNA
Source: RNAcentral